AUGCCGGAUGAGAUCUUUUGGCACGGCACCCAAUGCGCCGAUCAUAAUAAUAAUAAUAAAGAAUACACACAAAGGGUCAGAAAAAUUCUCAAAAGCAAGCUCAAUGGAGGCAACACCAUCAAGGCCAUAAACACCUGGGCCGUACCUGUCAUAAGAUAUACUGCUGGCAUUAUAAAUUGGACACAGAUGGAACUGGACAAUUUGGACAGAAAAACAAGAAAACUCAUGACCAUUCAUCAUUCUCUGCACCCUCGCAGUGAUGUUGACCGGCUAUAUCUGCCUAGAAGAUCAGGGGGCAGAGGACUCUUACAAGUAAAACAAGCAGUCAAAGAAGAAGAACAUGCCCUGGCAGAAGAUGUCAAGCAAAGUGAAGAACCUGCUUUGAUUGAAGUCAAAAAUCAGAAACUCCUCAAAGCACAGCAGACAAAGAAUCAGUACAAGAAAACCACACUACAAACUAGAGCUGACAGCUGGCACAACAAAACAUUGCAUGGAAAGUUCCUUGACAAAAUUGAAGGAAAAGCUGAUAAGGAGAAGACCUGGCUCUGGCUCACGAAUGGGACCCUGAAGAAGGAGACAGAAGGCCUGAUCCUUGCAGCCCAGGAGCAAGCCAUCAGAACAAAUACAAUCAAGGCCAAGAUCGAAAAAUCAGCUGAUGACCCAAAAUGCAGACUGUGCAAGGAAACUGACGAAACCAUUGAUCAUAUCCUCAGCUGCUGUAAGAAAAUGGCACAGACAGACUACAAACAGAGGCACAACUAUGUGGCCCAAAUGAUUCAUUGGAACUUAUGCCUCAAGUACCACCUCCCAGCAGCAAAGAACUGGUGGGAUCACAAACCUGCAAAAGUAUUGGAAAAAGAACAUGCAAAGAUACUGUGGGACUUCCGAAUCCAGACUGACAAAGUUCUGGAACACAACACACCAGACACCACAGUUGUGGAGAAGAAAAAGGUUUGGAUCAUUGAUGUCGCCAUCCCAGGUGACAGUCGCAUUGACGAAAAACAACAGGAAAAACUCAGUCACUAUCAGGACCUCAAGAUCGAACUGCAAAGACUCUGGCAGAAACCAGUGCAGGUGGUCCCGGUGGUGAUGGGCACACUGGGUGCCGUGCCAAAAGAUCUCAGCCGGCAUUUGGAAACCAUAGACAUUGACAAAAUCACGAUCUGCCAACUGCAAAAGGCCACCCUGCUGGGAUCUGCGUGCAUCAUCCGAAAAUACAUCACACAGUCCUAG
RNAcentral lists this long non-coding RNA (1233 nucleotides) under Anolis carolinensis (green anole). RNAcentral's name for it is "lncRNA (ENSACAG00000044111.1)". The record is from RNAcentral. Lineage: Eukaryota; Metazoa; Chordata; Lepidosauria; Squamata; Anolidae.